CCUCAGCAAGACUGUGACAUCAUGAACCACAAAACUGGUAAAAGUAGGAGCUAAGCAAGGAAGGGACAUUCAGUCUCCAGAGAGGUUUUGAGAAUCUUUUGUCUGCCUCUUUGCUGUAACAGAGGAAGACUGACAAUUAUUGCCAAGCUCUUUCAUUUUAAGGGCAUCCUUAGGAAUCCCUUUGUCAGACUGGAGCAUCUAGAGGGCAGCACUGUCCUUUGGGUUGUCCUGACAUGUUAGUCGAGCAGCAACGACCUCAAUAGCCAGCACUUGACAUCACAGCGGGCUCUGUCAGUGCAUUGUGCCAACCUUGCCACAACCUUGCCAGUGAAGCCCUGAAGCUUAUGUGUGGUGCCAACACGUGAACUGCCCUUCUGAAAUCAGUGGGACCUCUUAGGCUGACAGACUCCUAGAGAUGCAGUAAGUUAUUUAUGAGGUAAUACUUGGGCCCAGCGGAGCAUUCAGACCUGAGCAAUGGGAUGUUUUUGUGCUGGAAGUCAGAAGCGUGAGACCGAUGAGUAUUUUGUUACUUAGUUCUAACAGAGUUACUCAUACAAGUACAGACAAUUCAGCGCAGCACUUUUCCCUAGCCCUCUGUAUUGCUCUGAUGAACCAAAUGUUGGUUCUGUUCCUGUGCUUAAUGUGUUUAUUCAAUUUCCAAGCUUGCACUGAAGAGUGUAGAGACUUGUUUGAACUCCUUUUAAUAAUUAAUUUUAUCGUAGUUCUCAUCAUUGCCAGCUGUUGCUUUAAUAGCUUACAAAUAAAGUAAUAAAGUUGGGAUAACAACUAGUGACCUGAGAAGGAUGUGGGAGAAACACUGUGUGCUUGCCUGGGUGCCGUUAAUAACAGAGAUACGAACAUUUCCUAUUCUCAUCAGUGCUGUCUGACCCCAGGCAGUGAGCAUCAGGCCAUGUGAGACAGCAUAGAAACAUGUACAUAUACACAAGUGCACAGAUCACGUGGUAUCCU
This is a non-coding RNA of Coturnix japonica (Japanese quail), 969 nucleotides long. NCBI's taxonomy places the organism in Eukaryota, Metazoa, Chordata, Aves, Galliformes, Phasianidae. The record is from RefSeq and is a predicted model, not a curated record.